Molecule: ribosomal RNA, 444 nt
Filed under: uncultured bacterium
Lineage: Bacteria
Description: bacterial SSU rRNA
Rfam family: Bacterial small subunit ribosomal RNA
Source: RNAcentral
CUAAGAACGAACGCUGGGCGGCAUGCCUAACACAUGCAAGUCGAACGAGACCUUCGGGUCUAGUGGCGCACGGGUGCGUAACGCGUGGGAAUACUGCCCCCUUUCGGGUUCGGAAUAACAGCGAGAAAUUGCUGCUAAUACCGGAUAAUGACGUAAGUCCAAAGAUUUAUCGCCAAGGGAUGAGCCCGCGUAGGAUUAGCUAGUUGGUGUGGUAAAGGCGCACCAAGGCGACGAUCCUUAGCUGGUCUGAGAGGAUGAUCAGCCACACUGGGACUGAGACACGGCCCAGACUCCUACGGGAGGCAGCAGUGGGGAAUAUUGGACAAUGGGCGAAAGCCUGAUCCAGCAAUGCCGCGUGAGUGAUGAAGGCCUUAGGGUUGUAAAGCUCUUUUACCCGGGAUGAUAAUGACAGUACCGGGAGAAUAAGCUCCGGCUAACUCCGUG